This 388-nucleotide ribosomal RNA is filed under the name uncultured archaeon. RNAcentral's name for it is "bacterial SSU rRNA". It matches the Rfam family "Archaeal small subunit ribosomal RNA", at positions 54 to 448 of the family's 1478-position model. The record is from RNAcentral.
CGAGUCAACGUAGAAAUACGUGGCGAACGGCUCAGUAACACGUAGUCAACAUGCCCAGGGGCACGUGGAUAACCUCGGGAAACCGAGGAUAAACCGCGAUAGGCCAUGAUUUCUGGAAUGGUUCAUGGCUGAAAUCUAUAUGGCCUCUGGAUUGGACUGCGGCCGAUCAGGCUGUUGGUGAGGUAAUGGCCUACCAAACCUGUAACCGGUACGGGCUUUGAGAGGAGGAGCCCGGAGAUGGGCACUGAGACAAGGGCCCAGGCCCUAUGGGGCGCAGCAGGCGCGAAAUCUCUGCAAUAGGCGAAAGCUUGACAGGGUUACUCUGAGUGAUCUCCGCUAAGGGGAUCUUUUGGCACCUCUAAAAAUGGUGCAGAAUAAGGGGUGGGCA